RNAcentral lists this transfer RNA (72 nucleotides) under Ovis aries (sheep). It matches the Rfam family "tRNA". Rfam says of the family: Transfer RNA (tRNA) molecules are approximately 80 nucleotides in length. Their secondary structure includes four short double-helical elements and three loops (D, anti-codon, and T loops). Further hydrogen bonds mediate the characteristic L-shaped molecular structure. tRNAs have two regions of fundamental functional importance: the anti-codon, which is responsible for specific mRNA codon recognition, and the 3' end, to which the tRNAs corresponding amino acid is attached (by aminoacyl-tRNA synthetases). tRNAs cope with the degeneracy of the genetic code in two manners: having more than one tRNA (with a specific anti-codon) for a particular amino acid; and 'wobble' base-pairing, i.e. permitting non-standard base-pairing at the 3rd anti-codon position. The record is from Rfam by way of RNAcentral. Lineage: Eukaryota; Metazoa; Chordata; Mammalia; Artiodactyla; Bovidae.
UCCCUGGUGGCUCAGAUGGUAAAGAAUCUGCCUGCGAUGCAGGAGACCUGGGUUCGAUCCCUGGGUUGGGAA